AAAAGAGUCCCUCUAAUUCAACACACAAAUUACCUUGCGCAAACCUCUCAAACAUCUUGAGAUUUUUAUUUUCUUUUUUUCGUCAACACAUCUUCAAUUUAGAUAAACAACAUUGUGAAGGCAAUCAACGACAUCUUAAGUUUGGAUAAACAACAUUGGAGCCGUAGAAUCAGCCGAUCAAGAAGCACCUUCAGUUUGGAUGAACAACACUGCUUCGAGACCAAUUGGUUAUUUAUCCAAGUAUUGGUCGACAAGGAUUUUCGAGUCCUUGUUGGUAGAGGUCAUUUCAUUAGCCUUCUCGGCGAAGUGAGGUGUUACAGGUUACUACGUUCGGCACAUUGCAAGUCGAAUUUGAUAUUAAACUUUGCAGAACUAGCAGCCUUGUCUUCAGGCUCUAGAACCCGAAGGCUGAGACGUAUUCCUUCCUCAGCCGCAGUCGCAAGAUCAAGAAGUCAACAGCGCAGUCAACGCGACAUCAACAUAUUUUACGCCCCAGGAUGUAGUUAGCUUAUUAAUUACUCGGCAUGCGCGCCACAUAGGUUUGAUAGUUUUUUAGGGUCAACACAUACAUAGCUAUCUUCAUUUGUCUAGUUGAUUAAAUUCACACAUCACAUAUAACCAAAUUUUUAGGAUUCUUUAGAUAUAAACUCUUGUAAAUCUUAUUGUCUAGACAAAAACUCACCUCAUAUUAAACAUUCAAAUAAAACCCAAAAUUCAAAUAGUCUAGCAUAUAGGCAAAUAAAUGACCUAUUAUAAUAAAAUACUUACAACUUAUGCCACAAUGCUCUAAAUAUGUCAAUAAAUAUUAUUAUUACUCACCUUUAAUUAUGCCAAUGAGCAAUGAGCUUCUGUUUUAAAACCACGUAUUCCAAAUAUAAAUAAUAUCUAUAACUACUAAUCUAUCUACAUAUAAAUUAAUUUACCUAAAUUCUUUUAAUACAAACUAAUUUAC
RNAcentral lists this long non-coding RNA (952 nucleotides) under Malus domestica (apple). RNAcentral describes it as "long non-coding RNA (MDOM_LNC014449)". Lineage: Eukaryota; Viridiplantae; Streptophyta; Magnoliopsida; Rosales; Rosaceae. The record is from RNAcentral.